RNAcentral lists this ribosomal RNA (253 nucleotides) under uncultured bacterium. RNAcentral's name for it is "partial 16S ribosomal RNA". It matches the Rfam family "Bacterial small subunit ribosomal RNA", at positions 524 to 776 of the family's 1533-position model. The record is from RNAcentral.
UACGUAGGGUGCAGGCGUUAAUCGGAAUUACUGGGCGUAAAGCGUGCGCAGGCGGUUUGCUAAGACAGGUGGGAAAUCCCCGGGCUUAACCUGGGAACUGCGCUUGUAACUGGCAAGCUAGAGUGUGGCAGAGGGGGGUGGAAUUCCACGUGUAGCAGUGAAAUGCGUAGAGAUGUGGAGGAACACCGAUGGCGAAGGCAGCCCCCUGGGCUAACACUGACGCUCAUGCACGAAAGCGUGGGGAGCAAACAGG